GCUGGGGUGACGGAAUUGGUAAACGUACUAGCUUUAGGAGCUAGCGAUCGUAAGAUCAUAGGAGUUCGAAUCUCCUCCCCAGCA
This 84-nucleotide transfer RNA is filed under the name bacterium. Its description in RNAcentral is "tRNA-Leu". It matches the Rfam family "tRNA". Rfam says of the family: Transfer RNA (tRNA) molecules are approximately 80 nucleotides in length. Their secondary structure includes four short double-helical elements and three loops (D, anti-codon, and T loops). Further hydrogen bonds mediate the characteristic L-shaped molecular structure. tRNAs have two regions of fundamental functional importance: the anti-codon, which is responsible for specific mRNA codon recognition, and the 3' end, to which the tRNAs corresponding amino acid is attached (by aminoacyl-tRNA synthetases). tRNAs cope with the degeneracy of the genetic code in two manners: having more than one tRNA (with a specific anti-codon) for a particular amino acid; and 'wobble' base-pairing, i.e. permitting non-standard base-pairing at the 3rd anti-codon position. RNAcentral also lists the same sequence under 1 other name. The record is from RNAcentral.